Molecule: small RNA, 30 nt
Filed under: Bombyx mori (domestic silkworm)
Lineage: Eukaryota; Metazoa; Arthropoda; Insecta; Lepidoptera; Bombycidae
Description: ovarian small RNA-35464
Source: RNAcentral
UGUAUCAAAAAUGUGUACUUCCUCCACGGC